Long non-coding RNA from Cydia pomonella (codling moth), 799 nucleotides. RefSeq lists it as uncharacterized. Lineage: Eukaryota; Metazoa; Arthropoda; Insecta; Lepidoptera; Tortricidae. The transcript has 2 exons. The record is from RefSeq and is a predicted model, not a curated record.
AUUAAUAAUUAACAUGUAUUUUAACUAGUAAUAGAUAUAAAUAAACGAUUUAAGUAUUAGAAACUGUUGAUAAAAUGGUUGUCCACAAAAAGAGCGAGGUUACGACGAAAUGAAGGUAAAUUUGUUUGUUUACAUUAUUUGCGGUUUCUAAUGAACUCCGCGUUAAGCUCUUCUGCCAUACGAUAUUCAAGCUAAUUUAAAAGAUCGUAUGUGGGUAAGAAAGUUUGUAUACUUAAGCCCAUUUGUACUUAGGUCAGUUUAAUUUAAAUGUGUGUGGUAAGGUCCUGCGCGCAGGAUGCUAUAUAUAAGCGCGUGGAUGCGCUUACGAUGCACAACAAUCCUGACACAACAUGAAGAUUAUUGCCUUCCUCUUCCUCCUCGCCCUGGGCCUGGCAGCAGCCGGCAACAUCUGGUGGGGCUCCUCCGGACCAAUAAUCAUCCGGCGCUCAUCCGGCUGGUCCGGCUGGUCCGGUAGCCGUGGCUGGAACAGUGGCUGGAACAGUGGCUGGAACGGUGGAUGGAACAGAGGGUGGAAUAAUGGCUGGAACGGAUGGUGGUAAUCUUGAGACGGAGUUUGGGGAGUAGGAAGGUCGUAGCUACGACUUUUAUUAUACUGUAGCAAUUUAGGAAAAGAAAAGAUUGACUUUUCUGGACAUCUCGCAAAAUUUUAGACCACUAACAAAUACAUUUUAUAAAAUGUUACAAAAGUAUAAGGGAGUCGUCGAACAGAUCAAAUAAAUAUUUGAAGCUUGAUGAAUGACCUUAGGUGCCAAAAGGUUGAGAGUUCUCUACAGGGUAU